Zingiber officinale is the source of this 515-nucleotide long non-coding RNA. RefSeq lists it as uncharacterized. The transcript has 2 exons. Lineage: Eukaryota; Viridiplantae; Streptophyta; Magnoliopsida; Zingiberales; Zingiberaceae. The record is from RefSeq and is a predicted model, not a curated record.
AGAGAGGACUUAAGUUUCUCCCAUGACCUAAAACUCCCGAACCCCUCUCCUCAUCUCUCGUGAACGGCGACGGCGACGGCGACUCCACUGUUCGGGCAGAGAAGGCGACAGAGCUAGGCCUUUUUCUGGCCGGUCUUCACCCAACCGUGACCACCUCGACGAGGGGAACUCGGGAACACCAAGAAGCUGCCGAGAUUGAAGCUUCUCCGAAACCCUAGGACCUCUUCUCGGUUGUAAGUCCAAGAAAACGAAGAUAAAGGAAAAGCUAAAGUAUGAAAGGAAGGCGACAAGGUGGUGGUGAUGAAGGUGUGUGAUGGCUGGACUAUGGGGAGAUCAAGAGUUUGCUAAGGAAUUGUCAUGACCUUUCUGUUUAGAGUUCUUUUUGGUUUUCCUUAAACGCUAUUAUGAGGUUGGGACUGUAAUUGGGUUUAUUCUAUACUUGUAGGCGGAUAUGUCCUAUUGUUGGAGUUAUAUACUUGUUUACCAUUGUUAGAAUAGUUUCUUUUGAGUUAUUG